GCUUCUGUAGCUCAGUUGGUGGUAGCGUCCCUCUCAUACUAUGACAGGGGAAGGUCGUGAGUUCGAGCCUCACCAGAAGCA
This 81-nucleotide transfer RNA is filed under the name Schizosaccharomyces cryophilus OY26. RNAcentral describes it as "tRNA SPOG_16408". It matches the Rfam family "tRNA". Rfam says of the family: Transfer RNA (tRNA) molecules are approximately 80 nucleotides in length. Their secondary structure includes four short double-helical elements and three loops (D, anti-codon, and T loops). Lineage: Eukaryota; Fungi; Ascomycota; Schizosaccharomycetes; Schizosaccharomycetales; Schizosaccharomycetaceae. The record is from Rfam by way of RNAcentral.